CCCUUCGAUGUUCUGGGCAGCACGCGCGCUACAAUGGUCUUCGCAAACGGAUGCAUUCUCGAAGGAGAAUGCCAAUCUUGGAAUCUAUGCCUUGGUCGGGACAGUUGCUUGCAAUUUUUCGACUCGAACCAGGAAUUCCUUGUAAUCGUGAUUCAUCACAUCACGAUGAAUACGUCCCUGCCCUUUGUACACACCGCCCGUCGCUCCUACCGAUCGAAGAGUUAGGUGAAUUGUUUUGAUCGAUAAGAUUUGACUAUGGUCAACUCUCGUUGUGAAAUUCUGUGAAUCUGACUGUUUAGAGGAAGGAAAAGUCGUAACA
Molecule: ribosomal RNA, 319 nt
Filed under: uncultured eukaryote
Lineage: Eukaryota
Description: partial 18S ribosomal RNA
Rfam family: Eukaryotic small subunit ribosomal RNA
Source: RNAcentral